UUCCGGUUGAUCCUGCCGGACCCGACUGCUAUCGGAUUGAGAUUAAGCCAUGCGAGUCAAACGCCUUUCGUCUGUGAGAGGUGUGGCAAACGGCUCAGUAACACGUUGCCAACCUACCCUGAAGAUGUAAACAACCCCGGGAAACUGGGACCAAUGUACAAUAGGUCAUUUCUCCUGGAAUGGGUUAUGAUUGAAAGGGUUGUGAGAGCAUGAUUUCACAAUUGCUUUAGGAUGGGGCUGCGUCCGAUCAGGUUGUUGGUGGGGUAACGGCCCACCAAGCCUGUAACCGGUGCGGGCUUUGAGAGAAGGAGCCCGGAGAUGGACACUGAGACAAGGGACCAGGCCCUACGGGGCGCAGCAGGCGCGAAAACUUCGCAAUGUGCGAAAGCGCGACGAGGUUAAUCCGAGUGCCGCCCGCUGAGGGUGGCUUUUCUCAGGUGUAAAUGGUCUGAGGAAUAAGGGGAGGGAAAGCCUGGUGUCAGCCGCCGCGGUAAUACCAGCUCCCCGAGUGGUCGGGACGUUUAUUGGGCCUAAAGCAUCCGUAGCCUGCUCUGUUGGUCCUAUGUCAAAUCCAAUCGCUCAACGAUUGGGCCGCAUGGGAUACCGCAGGGCUAGGAGGCGGGAGAGGCGGACGGUACUCCGUGGGUAGGGGUAAAAUCCACUGAUCCACGGAAGACCACCAGUGGCGAAGGCGGUCCGCCAGAACGCGCUCGACGGUGAGGGAUGAAAGCUGGGGGGAGCGAACCGGAUUAGAUACCCGGGUAGUCCCAGCUGUAAACGAUGCGAGCUAGGUGAUGGAGUGGCUACGUGCCAUUCCAGUGCCGCAGGGAAGCCGUUAAGCUCGCCGCCUGGGGAGUACGGUCGCAAGGCUGAACUUAAAGGAAUUGGACGGGGAGCACGACAGGGGUGAAGCCUGCGUUCAUUGGAUUCAACGCGA
Molecule: ribosomal RNA, 937 nt
Filed under: uncultured archaeon
Lineage: Archaea
Description: bacterial SSU rRNA
Rfam family: Archaeal small subunit ribosomal RNA
Source: RNAcentral